GAUGAACGCUGGCGGCGUGCCUAAUACAUGCAAGUAGAACGCUGAAGGAAGGAGCUUGCUCUUUCCGGAUGAGUUGCGAACGGGUGAGUAACGCGUAGGUAACCUGCCUGGUAGCGGGGGAUAACUAUUGGAAACGAUAGCUAAUACCGCAUAACAGUAGAUGUUGCAUGAUAUCUACUUAAAAGGUGCAAUUGCACCACUACCAGAUGGACCUGCGUUGUAUUAGCUAGUUGGUGAGGUAACGGCUCACCAAGGCGACGAUACAUAGCCGACCUGAGAGGGUGAUCGGCCACACUGGGACUGAGACACGGCCCAGACUCCUACGGGAGGCAGCAGUAGGGAAUCUUCGGCAAUAGACGGAAGUCUGACCGAGCAACGCCGCGUGAGGGAAGAAGGUUUUCGGAUCGUAAAGCUCUGUUGUAAGAGAAGAACGAGUGUGAGAGUGGAAAGUUCACACUGUGACGGUAUCUUACCAGAAAGGGACGGCUAACUACGUG
Molecule: ribosomal RNA, 497 nt
Filed under: uncultured bacterium
Lineage: Bacteria
Description: partial 16S ribosomal RNA
Rfam family: Bacterial small subunit ribosomal RNA
Source: RNAcentral